This 253-nucleotide ribosomal RNA is filed under the name uncultured bacterium. Its description in RNAcentral is "partial 16S ribosomal RNA". It matches the Rfam family "Bacterial small subunit ribosomal RNA", at positions 524 to 776 of the family's 1533-position model. The record is from RNAcentral.
UACAGAGGUCUCAAGCGUUGUUCGGAAUUACUGGGCGUAAAGGGCUCGUAGGCGGCCAACUAAGUCAGACGUGAAAUCCCUCAGCUUAACUGGGGAACUGCGUCUGAUACUGGAUGGCUUGGAUUCGGGAGAGGAAUGCGGAAUUCCAGGUGUAGCGGUGAAAUGCGUAGAUAUCUGGAGGAACACCGGUGGCGAAGGCGGCAUUCUGGACCGACAUUGACGCUGAGGAGCGAAAGCCAGGGGAGCAAACGGG